RNAcentral lists this ribosomal RNA (253 nucleotides) under uncultured bacterium. Its description in RNAcentral is "partial 16S ribosomal RNA". It matches the Rfam family "Bacterial small subunit ribosomal RNA", at positions 524 to 776 of the family's 1533-position model. The record is from RNAcentral.
UACGAAGGGGGCUAGCGUUGCUCGGAAUCACUGGGCGUAAAGGGUGCGUAGGCGGGUUUUUAAGUCAGGGGGGAAAUCCUGGAGCUCAACUCCAGAACUGCCUUUGAUACUGAAGAUCUUGAGUCCGGGAGAGGUGGGUGGAACUGCGAGUGUAGAGGUGAAAUUUGUAGAUAUUCGCAAGAACACCAGUGGCGAAGGCGGCUCACUGGCCCGAUACUGACGCUGAGGCACGAAAGCGUGGGGAGCAAACAGG